RNAcentral lists this ribosomal RNA (954 nucleotides) under uncultured bacterium. RNAcentral describes it as "bacterial SSU rRNA". It matches the Rfam family "Bacterial small subunit ribosomal RNA", at positions 8 to 981 of the family's 1533-position model. The record is from RNAcentral.
AGAGUUUGAUCAUGGCUCAGGAUGAACGCUAGCGGGAGGCCUAAUACAUGCAAGUCGAGCGGUAUCUUUCUUCGGGAAGCUAGAGCGGCGCACGGGUGAGUAACGCGUACAUGACCUGCCUUUAAGACCGGGAUAGCCCUGGGAAACUGGGAUUAAUACCGGAUGUGAUAAUAGAUAUAAAGAUUUAUUAUUAAAGUUACGGCGCUUAGAGAUGGAUGUGCGUCUGAUUAGCUAGUUGGUAGGGUAACGGCCUACCAAGGCUACGAUCAGUAGGGGGCGUGAGAGCGUGCCCCCCCACACGGGUACUGAGACACGGACCCGACUCCUACGGGAGGCAGCAGUAAGGAAUAUUGGUCAAUGGACGAAAGUCUGAACCACCCAUCCCGCGUGCAGGAUGAAGGUCCUAUGGAUUGUAAACUGCUUUUAACAAAAAAAAAAAGCAUCCUUUUGAGGGUGUCUGACGGUAUCUGCGGAAUAAGCACCGGCUAACUCCGUGCCAGCAGCCGCGGUAAUACGGAGGGUGCAAGCGUUAUCCGGAAUCACUGGGUUUAAAGGGUGCGUAGGCGGAAUAUUAAGUCAGUGGUGAAAGCCUGUCGCUUAACGAUAGAACUGCCAUUGAUACUGAUAUUCUUGAAUUGGGUUGAGGUUAGCGGAAUGUGACAUGUAGCGGUGAAAUGCAUAGAUAUGUCAUGGAACACCAAUUGCGAAGGCAGCUAGCUGGGUCUUGAUUGACGCUGAGCACGAAGCGUGAGUAGCGAACAGGAUUAGAUACCCCUGGUAGUCCACGCCCUAACGAUGCUACUCGAUGUUUGGGACUUGAUGUUCGAGCAUCGAAGGCAAACUGAUAGUCAGCUGCUGGGUAGUACGACGGCAUGUUGACUCUAUGUAAUUUGGACGGCGUCGCCACGAGUAAGCAGUGAUCAUUCGAUGAUCGCGAGCAUCAUACCUUAGCCU